GAUGAACGCUAGCGACAGGCCUAACACAUGCAAGUCGAGGGGUAACAUUUCAGCUUGCUGAAGAUGACGACCGGCGCACGGGUGAGUAACGCGUAUGCAACCUACCUUGUACAGGGGGAUAGCCCGGAGAAAUCCGGAUUAAUACCGCAUAAUAUGAUUGAUUCGCAUGGAUUAAUUAUUAAAACUUCGGUGGUACAAGAUGGGCAUGCGUAGCAUUAGUUAGUUGGUAAGGUAACGGCUUACCAAGACGAUGAUGCUUAGGGGGUCUGAGAGGAUAGUCCCCCACACUGGUACUGAGACACGGACCAGACUCCUACGGGAGGCAGCAGUGAGGAAUAUUGGUCAAUGGGCGCAAGCCUGAACCAGCCAUGUCGCGUGCAGGAUGACGGCCCUAUGGGUUGUAAACUGCUUUUUUACGGGAAUAAUUGUUUCUACGUGUAGAGAUUUGAAGGUACCGUAUGAAUAAGGAUCGGCUAACUCCG
Molecule: ribosomal RNA, 482 nt
Filed under: uncultured Bacteroidales bacterium
Lineage: Bacteria; Pseudomonadati; Bacteroidota; Bacteroidia; Bacteroidales
Description: bacterial SSU rRNA
Rfam family: Bacterial small subunit ribosomal RNA
Source: RNAcentral